CCCAACGUCCUGCAGUGUCAGCCUGAUCACCUGACACGAGGGAUAGAUUGGUAACAGAAAUUUGGCACAGUUUGGUGGGCAAUUGAGAAGGGGGGAGCCCUGCAGAAUUUGCACCAUCUAUUUGUUUUACCCUUGUUGUUUUAUGUUUGCUUUGCUUGGUACUGUUGCUGUUAUAUGUUGAGGACUGCAUGAUUAAAGGAGUGCCCACUCUCAGCCGCAGUAAGUCUGAGAACUGGAGAGAGGCUUACCAUUCCUCUGUUCACCCUGGUUGACCGGGAAGGGUGGAAGGUGGAUCUACCCCCAGUCGUAGUAGGACUGGGCAAUAGAGAAGAUGGAGAAAAGGGAAGAGAUGUGUACUUGAGCAAUUAAGAGCAUAGAUCAUGAACCAGGCAGCAAUUCAAACCUACGCCCAGGGCAAGUUGCAGGCCUUGAAACAGGACUUCCAAGCAGAAAAGGAAGCACUGGCUAAGCAAGUAUUGGUCCUUCAGGGACUUAUCAAAAUGUAACCAUUUGUGCUCAGUAUACACCAUAGCAGCAGUGUGUUUGCCACAAGAGGAAAUUGGAUAGUUAAACUCCAACGGGCCAUGUGUUUUUGCCCAGGUGGCAAGCCUGACGAGGGAGGACUCGGGUAGUCUUGUGAGUAAGAAUGUUUAAGGGAAGAGACCAGGAAGGGUGGGGGCUAGUUGAGAAGCCCACUCUCCUAGCUAAACUGGUAGUGGAACAAAGCUGGUGCCCAUGGAAGGGGCAGUUCAGCGAGAAAAGCAGGAUCGGGCCCAGGCGGGCAGGCAACAGAUACAGCGAUUGGAAACCAGGUUGGAAAAUUUUGAGGGCGUAGUGGAAGGAAGGAAUAAGUAAGUAUAAGCAUGGGGAUUUCAAAUACCCAGGACAAUACUUGAAAUGGUGCUUUGAGUUGAUAAAAAGCCUGGUCUACACUAUGCGUUUAUACUGAAUUUAGCAGUGUUAAACCGAAUUAACCCUGCAUCUGUCCACACAACGAAGCCCUUUAUAUCAAUAUAAAGGGCUCUUAAUAUCGAUAUCUGUAUUCCUCCCCGACGAGGGGAGUAGCCUCAAAUCGGUAUUGCCAUUUCAGAAUAAGGUUAGUGUGGCUGCAAUUUGAUGGUAUUGGCCUCCGGGAGCUAUCCCACAGUGCACCAUUGUGACCUCUCUGGACAGCAAUCUGGAGUUGGAUACACUGGCCAGGUAGACAGGAAAAGCACCGCAAACUUUUGAAUUUCAUUUCCUGUUUGCCCAGUGUGGAGCUCUGAUCAGCACAGGUAACAAUGCAGUCUCCUGAGAAUCGAAAAAGCUCCAGCAUGGACCGCACGGGAGGUACUGGAUCUGAUCGCUAUAUGGGGAGAGGAUUCCGUGCUAACAGAACUCCGUUCCAAAAGACAAAAUGAAAAAACAUUUGAAAAAAUUUCCAGGGCCGUGAUGCAGAGAGGCCACAGCAGGGACUCAGUGCAGUGCAGAGUGGAAGUUAAGGAGCUCAGACCAGCCUACCAGAAAACCAAAGAAGCAAACGGAAGGUCCGGGGCAGGGCCAAAAACAUGCUGCUUGUACGCUGAGCUGCAUGCAAUUCUCGGGGGGUCCACCACCACUACCCCACCCCUGUCCAUGGAUUCCGAGGUGGGGGUGGUAACCUCAGCCAUGCCUGAGGAUUCUGUGGACGGGGAAGAUGAAGAGGAGGACGAGCUUGCAGAGAGCACACAGCACUCUGUUCUCCCCAACAGCCAGGAGCUUUUUCUCACCCAGACGGAAUUACCCUCUCAGGCCACUAGCCCAGACAAUGAAGCCAUGGAAGCCACCUCUGCUGCAAAUUUUUCAAGUCUCUCUCCUCCAUCCCGAAGGCUACUCAGAUAAGGCGGAGGAAAAAGAAGACGCGAGAUGAAAUGUUCUCAGAAAUCAUGGCAGUGACCCGCAAUGAAAGAGCUCAUCUGAAUGAGUGGAAGGACAUGGCAUCAAAGUACAGGAAAGAUGCCAAUAAACGUGAGGACAGGAGGGACCAACGUGAGGAGAGACACUCUAGAUGAGAGGUGGCGGCAGGAAGAUCAGCGGUGGCAGGAUGCAACUCUGGGGCUGCUGCAUGAUCAAACAGACAUGCUCCGGCGUCUGAUGGAGCUUCAGGAACGGCAGCAGGAUCAUAGAGUGCCGCUGCAGCCCCUGUAUAACCACCCUCCCCCCUCACCAUGUUCCUUAGCCUUCUCACCCACCAGACAACUAAGAACGCGUGGGGGGAGGCUCCGUGCACCCGCCCAUUCCACCCCAGUGGACAGCCCAAUCAAAAGGCUGUCAUUAUUUUGAAAUUUUUUUAGUGGCCUUCUCCUUCUCUUCUAUCCUCCUCCCAAACCACACCCGGGGUACCUUGUCAUUUCUCUCCCUCUUUUUAUAAUUAAUUAAGAAUACAUGAUUUUUAAA
Gopherus flavomarginatus (Mexican gopher tortoise) is the source of this 2415-nucleotide long non-coding RNA. RefSeq lists it as uncharacterized. The transcript has 2 exons. The record is from RefSeq and is a predicted model, not a curated record. NCBI's taxonomy places the organism in Eukaryota, Metazoa, Chordata, Testudines, Testudinidae.